This 230-nucleotide ribosomal RNA is filed under the name uncultured bacterium. RNAcentral describes it as "partial 16S ribosomal RNA". It matches the Rfam family "Bacterial small subunit ribosomal RNA", at positions 334 to 561 of the family's 1533-position model. The record is from RNAcentral.
UUAUCUUACGGGGGGCAGCAGUGAGGAAUAUUGGUCAAUGGACGAGAGUCUGAACCAGCCGAGUAGCGUGAAGGAUGACUGCCCUAUGGGUUGUAAACUUCUUUUAUAUGGGAAUAAAGUUUUCCACGUGUGGAAUUUUGUAUGUACCAUAUGAAUAAGGAUCUGCUAACUCCGUGCCAGCAGCCGCGGUAAUACGGAGGCUCCGAUCGUUAUCCGGAUUUAUUGGGUUU